UACAGAGGUGGCAAGCGUUGUUCGGAAUUACUGGGCGUAAAGGGCGCGUAGGAGGCUUGGUCAGUCCCGUGUGAAAUCCCUCGGCUCAACUGAGGAACUGCACGGGAAACUGCCUGGCUUGAGUUCGGGAGAGGGAAGCGGAAUUCCGGGUGUAGCGGUGAAAUGCGUAGAUAUCCGGAGGAACACCGGUGGCGAAGGCGGCUUCCUGGACCGACACUGACGCUGAGGCGCGAAAGCUAGGGGAGCAAACGGG
Molecule: ribosomal RNA, 253 nt
Filed under: uncultured bacterium
Lineage: Bacteria
Description: partial 16S ribosomal RNA
Rfam family: Bacterial small subunit ribosomal RNA
Source: RNAcentral